UUUCCUAGCUAACUCUGUUUUCAGACGCCUCUCUUCUUUUUCCAAAUCAACUUUGUUCCAUUCUCACCGACCGUCUCUAGAGUAAGUGGCAAAGGACUUGGUGGUUGGUACCCGAGACUCAAGUUCGAAUACUAGUUGAUUCACAUUUCCAGCUAAGUUUAUUUCUAAAUGAAAUAAGCGAAGCGGGUAACGUGCUAUCUAUCUGUCAAAAAAAAACUUUGUUCCAUUCUCGUAUAAACUUUACUGUGUUCACCCCUGCCUAACACGUGUGAAGGAAGCGUGGCAAGAAUAUUAAUCUCAUACUGAAUACAAAUUAGGAUUAAGAUGUCGAAUCGUUGGCGCUAACUAUUAAUCCCAAAAGCUCGAGCUAUUAGAAAUACAAAACCAAUUCAUUUAAAGCGUAUAGAUAUGGUGCCUAUGAGUCUCAAUUGUAACUCGGCCCAACCAGCCUCACGCUAUUUCAAACAUGACUCGGCCCAACCAGCCUCACGCCAUUUCAAGCAUGACUGGCUCAACAUAGCCUCCUAUUACAGGGCAGGAUGCUCGCCGAUUUAAGUCAACAAUACGAUGGUUGUUGGAGAAUUCUUUCUGUGAGACUCGAUCAAAAAAUUACAAUGUAAGUUAGUUUAUGAAAAAAUUCGCCUGCCCCUGAAAGCAAAUGGAAAUGGAGUCUCAACUGAAGUGAUUCAUAUCUUUAGAUGGUGCAUGGAAGUUGCCAUCCAGUAUUUUGCGCAAAUCUCUUUAUGAUAUAGUUUCUAUUAUUCAGAUUUUGUCCUCAUCUAUUUCUCGAAAUAGGCCUAGUUAGCGGAUUAUGCACUGCACUCAUAUUCCCCAUAUAUAUAAUGGAGAAAUUCUCUGCAUUUCUUGCGUAAAACAAAACUUCUGCUACUAAUCGAUCAAGACCGUCCAUCUUGCCCUUCCAUCCAAAAGGGAGGAUCAAUCUUUAACUCCAGUAAUAGAAUUCUACAGGCAAAAGUGAUCUAUUUUUAUUACGAACUAAUUAGUUUAGUGUCGUGCAAGAAUUUUCCAUGCACUAGGUUGUAUGAAAUGCGCCCCCUUGUUUUAGAUAUGAGUAACGCUUUAUAUACUUUAAAAGGUACUCAGGAAUUAAUGUUGUUUGAGUGAACAUAGUAUGCGUGAUAGGUAAUGAUUGAUUUAACCCUUUAAUAAUUUUAAAAAGAAAACUCAAUUUUAUCAGUAAGUGAUUUGUCUAUCUUGCUAAUUCGUCAACAAUAUUGCAAUGUACCUUUUGAGCUACAUGUAUGAGAUUAAAACAAAAAAAAAAGGUUCAAAAUCUUAAUCGAAACGUAUUAAAGGUUAGUGAUUGAUGAUGAAAUUUACACGUACAUAUCAUUCUUAUUAAUUAAGAAUUAAUUAUCAUAUAAUUAUCUAUUAAAUGUAAAAAUUAUACAAAAUAAAAUAUUUGUGGAUCUAAAUUUGGUUUGAAUUUGUCCCUUUCUAUCCUCAUGAAAUUUUUGAGUUUUCUAAGUAAAUUAUAUAACACUGUAAGGCUAUAAGAUAUAGGGUUUUGACUUAUGGGAAUAUCAGGAUAGAAAAGAGAAUUUCAUAGAUUUUUAUGUUAAAACUAUCUGAAAAAAUUACAUUGUUAUAAAAAUAUUGUAAAAUUUUGCUAUAAGAUUAUGUUGUUUAGUUUCAUUAAUUAUAAUGUUAUGCCAAGAGCAAUACCAUCUGUAUACUCAAGAGAGACCGUAAAAUUUUAUACUGUACCUAUCCAAGGAUCAAUUUUAUUCUAUUAAUCUGAUCACAACUCUAUUUGUUUAAUACUAAUAAUUUAAGCACCCGUUUGGUUCGGGGUUAAGAGGUGGAAUAACCCCUUAAUCCCGAAGUUAUUCCCAAACACCCAAUUUGGGGUGUGGGGUUAGCUAACCCCACCCUAUCCCACUACUCCAACCAAAUAUUAUUUUAUCUAUAUCUGGACUAAACCUAAUUCUCAACCAAACACAAAAUUAUUCUAACCCCAUCUUAACCCUGAACUUAACUCUAUCCCUGUAAUAACAAGUUUUUACUUAAUCCCGAACCAAACGGUGGCUAAAAGAAUUAUUUCUACUGUUAAAUAAAUAAACUAAGAUUUACACUCUACUAGGUGGAAUAAUUAUUAGAUAGAAUAAGUGGUUGUUUCACAUCACCAAAGUCAACUACCUUGUUGACCAUUCAAUGUAGUACAAAAGAGAGCCUCCUAAUUUGAUGUUACUAGAUGAUUCCAGCUCUUUUGCUUUUCCUGCUGUUCCAUCAUCUUCUCCUGUUUGAUAUGAUAUCUGAGGUCUAAUAUGACUAGCCAUGCAAAACGGCUAGUCACCUAUUCCUCCAAAUUAGCAACAAUGGUAUUAAAAGAAUAAAUAAAUUUAAACAAGAAAACAAAAAAAAAAAAAAAAACUGAUCUUAUUUUGACAUAGCAAGUAUUUUUAGCUUGGUCAAAUUCCAAUAUUUUAUGGGGUGAACAUUUACCACUAACAAGUCAUGAUUCCUCUUAAAAAAAAAAAGGGUCAUUACCCCGCAUUAAUAAUGCCAAGCUCAAGCAGUGUAUUAUUUUUCGCUUCUUGAUAAUUUGAAUAAUAUCAGCUAUUUCUUUCUUAUCAAAUUGAAUUAUUCUUCUGUGACUUGUUAUAGAUUUGAGUACAAACUAAAUAGACAUCAUAUAAUAAACUUUUAUAAAAUAUAAGGAAAGCCGUCGUAAUCAUAACACUGUUGAAUAUGUUAAAGGAUAUAUGUAUAUAGAGUUAGGCUGGUAUACUAUUAUUAGUACGGAGGCCUCCGUGCUACCAAGUUGUUUUUAAUGAUGUAAAUUCCAAAUCGACUAUCGGCUCCAUUAGACUUGAUCUACACUUUUGAAAGUAUUUGAAAAGUAAAUUUUAUAAUUUUUCGACAUCAUUUACUUAUCAAACGAGUAGUCUAAAAAUAAACGGCUAAAAAUAAAAAUCUCAUAAAAAAUGAUGAUAGAAGGCUUGAAUUUAAAAUCAGAGUACUGAUCUUACUCUAAAUACUGAAAUGUAUUUUCUAUAAAAAUUUCAUCAGAUUUGAAUUAUUUUACACCGUUGAAUUCACAAACGUAUCACAUCGACCAUUAAAAUUGUCAAUUUUGAGAUCUUUUUAUCACUAACCAAAUGAUGUUGAAAAAUUAUGACAUUUAGUUUUUCAAUACUCUUAAUAGUGUAGAUCAAGUCUAACGGAACUGAUCAUCGAUUUGGAAGCCGCAUCAUUAAAAAUAAUUUGAUAGCACGGAGGUCUCCGUGGUACCAAUAUUAUACCAGCCUAUAUAUAUAUAUAUAUAUAUAUAUAAUUUGGAGCUCCUAUGCUUUUAAAAGUACCAAGUUAUUGGUGUUUACAGAUUUUAGCCAUUGGAUUAAGAGAUAUACGAUUAGGAUGAUGUGGGCCCUCUAAGGUUGAGUGGGUGGUUGGUUGAAUAGUAUAAUCUAAUGGUUGAAAAUGAUCCGAGGAAUAGAUCUAAAGGUAAACUUACAAGCACCAAGUGCUUGGUGCUUUUACAAGCUGGACUACUAUAUAUAUAUAUAUAUAUAUAAUAAUAAUAUAUAUAUAUAUUAUAUAUAUAUAUAUAUAUAUAUAUAUAUAUAGAAUUAUGCUGGAAUACUAUUAGUAGUAAAACACUCUUUUUGCUAUUAAGUUUUUAACCCUUGAAUGAAAAAUUGUAAGGUUAGAAUGAUAUUAGUCAGUUAAAGUUGAGUGGUCCUCCUAGGGUUGAGUGGUCCCUACUGGGUUAUAAUAUUUAAUCCAAUAGUUAGAAAUGAUGAAAAGAGUUGAUCCAUAGGCUAAAAAACUGGUAGCAACAAUGAAAUUUUACUACUAAUAGUAGCCCAGUCCAACUCUCUCUCUCUCUCUCUCUCUCUCUCUUUCUCUCUCUCUCUCUCUCUCUCUCUCUCUCUCUAUAUAUAUAUAUAUAUAUAUAUAUAUAUAUAUAUAUCAACUGUUCUUUUCUGGUUGAUAACUUAGUCAGUUAAUUCGCGAUUAAAACGCGAAUUAUAUGCGAAUCUUUAAAAACACGAAUUAAACGGCGUCUUCCUUAUUUUUUCGAAAAGUUCAAAAAAAUACGCGAUUUCUUCGUCAAAAAAAAGUGUUCGCGAAUUAUUCGCGAUUCGCGAAUGAUUCGGCCAAGAAAACGGCGCUCGCGGUUGCGGAUUCGCGGCCGAGGGUCACGUCGUCGCCGCGUUCGUGGUUGUGGAUUCGCGGCCGAGGGUCUCGUCAUCGCCGCUCUCGUCGCCGAACUCUUCUGGGUCGUCCUCUUCCUCCUUCGCGGCCCUGGCCGGCGCCGGGAGCAAGAUCUGCGGCGGCAGAUGUCGUCUCUCCCGAGGAAAGGUGGAAGAGGAACAGUAAAAAAAUAUCAGAACUUUUGGAGGCUAAUCAUGCGCGGUCUCGUGGACCACAUGAGAGGGAGGUCCAGUGGACCUCCCUCUCAUUAAUCAUUAUAUAUAUAUAGAGAGAGAGAGAGAGAGAGAGAGAGAGAGUGUGAGGCUAUUAUGCUUCUUGAAGCACAGAGCCUUCCGUGCUUCCAGGUCUUUUUCAGAUGUUGCGAUUUUCGAAUCGUCGAUCGGCUCCGUUAAACUUGAUCUAGAGUAUUUGAAGUACUUANAUAUAUAUAUUUAUUAUAACUUUGAAUAUAUUUAAUCUAUAUAAAAAAAAUUAUAAAAAAAAUAUAUAUAGUAUAUUAAUUAUUAUAUAUUUAUUAUAUAGCCGAAUUUUUGAUUCCUAAUUUUUUUAUUGGUAAACGUAUAAUAUCCGUAUAAAUCACGUAUCCGAAUAAUUACCAAAUCCGUUUUUUAACCGUAUUUUUCAACAAAUUUAAAAAUUAAAAGACGAAUUUUAUCCGAAUUAUAUCCGUACCGAAUUUUUGCCGAAUCCGAAUUAACUAACUAUGGUUGAUACCUACGAACUUUCUUAGGAGAGCUCUCGUAUUAAAUUUCGAGAGCUCAUUAUCUUGUACUUUUGGAAAAAGAAAUGCAAGAAAAGGCAAACAGUACUGUUAAUUACCAAUUGUUUAGGUGAUUAAAGAUAAAGUCUCUGGAUAUGUUUUCUAAUCAUGAUUUGUGAUGCAAAUCGGGACUGUGUAGAAGAGACCUAGUUUUUCGGGCCGAUUGGAUUGGGCUGGAAUGGGCCAAUUACAUUAUUGAUUGCAGCAACAAUAUGUUUCACAAACUUUUGAACUUUAUCUUCUUCAGUAGUUAAAUCAGCAGAUAUAUCAAAUAUGGCAUAUUGCUUUGCAUAUAUUGUUUUUUUUAAAAAAAAAUUUCUAAGUAAGUUUUUUUUGUGAGUGUGUUUUGAAACUUUACAAGAUGAUCUAUGGGACAAAUCACCAGAUAUGGUAGGUUCAUCAAGAGAAGGGCCAAUUAAUUAAGUUAUUUGGCAAAACUUUAGAAGGUAAUAAUUGCCAAAUUUUAGAAAGUUCUAAAGUUCAGAGGGUGCUUAUACAAAUACUACUUUAAGCAAAUGUUAAGCUUUUUAGCAAUUGUUUGCGCACUCUAGUUCACUUGUGCGUGUCGAACAUAAUAACAGAGGGUGUACGAUUUACACUCACUUUGGGUUUGGCCCUAUUUCACUCGGGCUUGGGCUCGACGAAUGUUGGGCAACACGGAAUAAAUUCAAGCUCGACUCAAUUUUCGAACAUUGAGCUUAUGUUAGCUUGCUAUGUUAGGUUAAUGCAUUGGUAUCUCUUAUUUGACCCCCUAAAGUAUCGCUGAUACGCUAGCAGUGUUUCAGAACGCGUGAGUGAACUAAUCAGCACGCACAACAUGCGAUUUGAAGUAUAUAAUAAUAAAUGAAACUUGAGGGACAUUUUUGAGGAUACAUGUAGCUGUUCCAAACAAUUGCAACUUGCAUAGUUGCAAGCUGUCCUUCUCAAAUUGAGGAACCCUUUUGUUUAAUUCUCUAAUGACCACAUAACAUAUAUUUAUCUUAUCGAAGUACUCGAGCCAAUCGCGUAUUAAGAUAUCAGAGAAAUGCUAAGUUUACAGCUAAAAAAAUGUCAUACUCUUUCAACCCCUUAUUCUAAGGCUCCCUAAAAUUUGCUCAACCCUUUUUUAAGUUCUUAAUAUAUUAAAAAAAUAGCAAUAAAACUAAUAAAAAAAUUAUUGGUUCGGCCCUUGAACGAUGAUGUUGCAGGAUUAAUAAGAACAGAUGAAACAUAUUCUAGCAAUUAUAUAUAAGGAGAAAAAAAAACAGAGAACUAAUAAAUUUCAAAUAACAGCUAUAAUCUUAAACUACUAUGCACAUCGCAUUUUUGCCCUCAAACUAUAUCUGAUGUAUUUUAAUCAAAUCUUAUUGCUUCUAUUUUUAUUCCCUAAAAUAAUGUAAAUAUAAAAUGUUUCGUACUACGGUAAGGAUUGUGCAAGAAAUUUUUUUUUUUUUUUCAUGCAUAGCUUACUAUUGAUUAAAAAUGUCAAGUCAUUUUUCGGUAGGCUCGAGCAAUAAAUAUUACAAUGAAAAGUAAUUGCAAUCUUUCUAAUAGCUCGAGAAUCUAAAAACUUAGAUUAGAGUGUGACACACAAAAUAAUUCGAAAACCACGAUGUAUAAUGAAUUUUUAAAAUUUUUCGUUGUAGAUUCGAAUCUCAGAAAAAAAAAAUUAUGGAAAGAGUAAUAAGAAAGCCAAUCUCUCGAUUCUUAAAAUUAUAAAGAGGUAUAUAAAAAAUUAUCUCAACUAAUAUACAUUUUGAUUUAAUUAUCUAUAUAGCCUUUGAAAAUUUUGAUCUUGCUACCUUACCUUUUAAUUUAUUUAACUUGAGUAAUUUUUUAGCUUUAAAAUUAAAUACUUCCUUUAGCUUUACAUACAAAAUUAACAUAUUUUAUGCAAUUUAUAUGUAACUAUAUAUCUAUUAAGAUAAAUAAUUACCUUAAAUUUUAUAUCAAAAGAAUCAUCAAAUGGCUUAAAUCAAAGACAUUUAAAAGUUAAACAUGAAAAUAAAAAAUUUGAAAUCACAUGCAGUUUAAUCAAAAUGAUCUAUAGUUCACAAAAUGCUCAGUAUAUUUUUAUUUUGAAACCAAACUGACAUUGACUGAUUUAAAUCAAACAAAUUAAAAAAUUAGAUAGUAAUAUUAAAAUUUUUAAAAAUUAGAUAAUAGUAAAAAAAAAUUAUUCUUUUCCGUACGAGCAAUAGAGGAGAGAGGUAGCAUAGGUCCACUCACCUGUGCGAUAGAUUAGUUCAACUUUUUCCGAAUCUCGUCGUGAUGCGUGAGACUCCAACUUAACUUUUACUUGUUCGAGAAAAAGAUUGCGUUAUUUGAAAGUUAUGAAAACUAAAAGAUAAAUUUAUUACGCACAUCAACAAAUUACUCUCACGAUACCAACUUCAAUGCUACGUAGCGCAUGUUAAAUUAUGAUUACCCCAUAUGUAGAGUCAAACAUCAUUUACUCUCGCUCUUUAUCCCAUACUCUCUACGUACAUCCCCAUGAAUGUGUUUAUUAUAUUUUUUAUUUUUUUCCCUUUGUAACUGCUAUAUCUGUAAUCAAAUCUAGUUUCUAAUUCACUCACUAAGCGCUUGGUUUGAGCUAUAUUCCAAAAUGGCAAAACUUUUGAGCUUGCUCUUGCUGCUGCUGCUUGCUUUUCUGGUGGCAGUUUCUGCAUCUGUUUCUUUCCGAAUAGAGUUAACCCAUGUCGACGCCGGGGGCCAUUUCAAUAAGUCGGAGCUCCUGCGUCGGGCCGUGCUCCGGAGCAAGAUACGGGCGGCAGCGUUACUGUCGAGGCCGGCAGUAGUGGUGCCCAAAUCGACCGCGGGGGCGCCGAUCAUACCAGUCCGCCCGAGCGAGGGGGAGUUCCUCAUGGACGUGGGGAUCGGCACGCCCCCGCACCCGUUUUCUGGGAUUCUUGAUACCGGCAGCGACCUCAUCUGGACUCAAUGCAGCUCCUGCAUUCUAUGCAUCGAGCAGCCGACGCCGUACUAUGACCCCACGAAAUCGUCCACCUCCUCCGCCGUCGCCUGCGCUGACCCGCUGUGCCAGGCGCUCCCCGGGCCACUGUGCUACCAAAACUCCUGCGUCUAUUUCUACAGCUAUGGCGACGCCGCCGCCACCGCCGGGUACCUCGCGGCGGAGACCCUCACCUUCGGAACCGCCAACGGUACAAAAGUUACUGUCCCCAGCAUCGCUUUCGGGUGCGGGAGCCUCAACGAAGGCUCGCUGUCGAACGGGUCGGGUAUGGUCGGGUUCGGGCGCGGGCCCUUAUCGCUCGUCAACCAACUGCAUGCGAAAAAGUUCUCUUACUGCUUCACUUCCUUUCUUGCAUCAAAUUCAAGCACUCUCUUUUUUGGCGCGCAAGCAAAACUCGCUAACAAUACGAAAUACGGGCCGGUGCAGAGCACGCCCUUCGUUAUAAGCCCGGCUCAGCCAUCGUUCUUCUUCGUAAACCUCACCGGCGUAACGGUCGGGGCCACUCGACUCCCGAUACCGCCGUCGGUGUUUGCUCUGAACCCCGACGGCUCCGGAGGCGUGUUUAUUGAUUCCGGCACGUCGAUCACGUACCUGCAGGAUGCGGCGUACGCCUUAGUGAGGGAGGCGUUUCUUUCGCAGGUGAAGCUGCAGGCGGUGAACGACACCGCGAUCGGGCUCGACGUGUGCUUUGCGCUCCCGUCGCCGCCGUUCGUGACCGCCGUGAUCCCGAAGCUCGUGUUCCACUUCGGCGGCGGCGCCGACAUGCAGCUGCCGCAGGAGAACUACAUGGCGAUCGAUAUCGCCACCGGGAACUUGUGCCUGGCGAUGCUGGGGAGCAGUGAUGGGUCGGUCAUAGGGAAUUUUCAGCAGCAGAAUAUGCAGAUGCUCUAUGAUCUGGAGAAUAACCUCUUGUCCUUUGUUCCUGCUCAGUGUGAUCUCGUGUGAUUUGGAUCUUACGAAAUUGCGGUAGUAGAUUAAUGCAGUUGUAGUCUUUUUGUUUAUGUGGGCUUUAUGAAUUGGUGAGGAGAGUCUCUAGGGUUACUUUGGAUUUUAAUUUGCAGUUGACAUGUAACAUUAAGAUAACAAUUAUUUAAUAAACUGGGAUUUUUGAAUAUAUAUUUGAAUUCUUUGAGAUGUAUUAUUCAGAAGGUCUAUUUUGGGCCUGUAACAUUGAAAAAGUUGUCCUAUUUAGUUUCUUAUAAGAAUUUUAGAAUAUUAUUAUAUUAUAUAAUAAUGCAAACUUUAGACCUUUGACUCCGCUAUGUUUACUCUCUUUUUUGAAAUCAGAUAUCAACUUCUAGAUUGUGUUGUUUUUCCAUAUUUUUCUUUGCCCAGGAAAAAAGUUAUUAAGGGGUGAAGCAUAAAAAUAAUAAUAAUAAUAAUAAAACUAUUCUUUUAUUGGUGUUUUGUCCAAAUCAUCUGUUAAAACUCAGGAUAACACAUCACUCAGACUAUGACUACAUAUCCUCAGUUGUGCAUAUUCCAUAUUAUCCCAAAAGAAUAUUAGGAAAAAAAGAACAGAACACAAAAAAGAAAGAUGCGAUUAAUUAAUUAAUUAAUUAAUUAAAGACUCAUUAAACAAAAUUUCAAAACUUUUAAAUAAUAAAUCAAUUUGAAAUAAUUAAGCUGUACUUCAUAGGAUGAAGCUUCCCCCAAAUGCACAUCAGCAGUAAAUCUCACCAACAACCUGCCACUUCACAGUCCACCUCCUUUUUCUUCCCUCCGAAAAUCCCAUAUAAAAAAGAGGGUAAAAAAUUCAUAAGAAUUUUCUUCUUUUUUUAAAAAAAGAAUUCUGUAAUGUUUUUUCAUGUCUUAACAACUAUCUCAGACCUACUUAUACUCUGAACAUUAGACCAUCUUCCUAGUGUUGGCCUCGUUUUGUUGUAUCGUUCUCAUCGCAUUCGCCUUAAACUUCAAAGAGUACUCCUCCCUAUCUGUGCUUUCUUUUUCAGAUGCUUUCACAGUUGCGCACUCGAAUCAAUUAGUCACCAAGAAAGCACUUUAACUUUGUCAUUAACUGGAAAAUGAAGUGUAGUUAGAAUAAAGCACUCCAAACAGCGCCAUCUCCCUCGCCACACCGGGAAUGUACAUCCUUUAUUCUAUCUACUGAGUUGCAGAUCCCACUGCAGCUCCAGUCGAACGAGGCGAUGCAAACAUUUCCUGCCUGUGAUUUCCACUCACAAUCUGCAUAAAAAUUUAAAGAACAAAUGAUAAGUAUGAUACUAAGAAUAAUUAAUUACAAUUUUAUUCCCCGAAAUUUUAUCCCAGUUUCAAUUACUUUCUCAGAGCAUUUAAUUCGGCGUUUCUGUCCCUAAACCCCUACUCUACCAUCUAAAGCAACACCGUGUCUGCAUCAUUAUCGAAAAUGAAAUCUCAAAACGCUUGCCCCGUUAGAGAGCCCUACCGAUGAUGUUUGCAUGGCAUACUUUUUUCCGGAUGAUAGGCUAAUGGGAGGUUCAUUGUUAUGCAGGAAAAACUUCGAAUAAUAAAUUUUUAAAAUUGAAAUCCCGAUAAUGUGAUUGAAAUCAGGUCAAAUAAGCGAACCAACCUGGGGGAGUUCCACAGCACAUGUUCCUCUCAUCAAUAUGUUCGACUUCCAGCCCAAUAAACCAUGAACCUAAGGAUACAUCUUCAUUCGCAUAUUUAUGUAGUAUAGGCCUGCAGAUGGGAUUAAGUUAAUCAAAAUCAUUUUAUAUAUAUUAAGCACAAACAAUAUGUAUCACCACUAUCAUAAUCUUACUGGUUGAUCGAGAUGUAGGUGGCCAAAUCCUUUGAGACAGCAUAUAUCUGCCCCGUAGCAUGGCGGAAGUACUUGUUUCCUUCCUCUCCAAAUUUCCAAUAUUCAGGCUCAUGGUACUUAACAUUCCUAUAGAAAUCACAGAGAAUUUCAUAUAAGUAUAUACUGUACAUUACUGAUGCGAUAACACUCUGUAGGAAAAGUGGUAGAAAUUUACUUAUCAGAAAGAACUGGCCCAGACUUCAUACAACCUAUGUAGGUUCUUGGUUUCGAUCUAUGUCGAGCGAGAGUUGUAGCUAGCAUGCCUGCAUUAUAAUGGUUAUAAUGUCAUCAAAUAAUAUUCUUUCAACUUUCUCAAGAGGAACUAUAACAGAAGAAACACCAAAAUAGCACCUAGGUUCACGUGGACAUCAUCAUCGACCUUGACAUAAAAUUCAGCAUCCCAUAUGGCAACAGCUGUGGAGAAAAAUAUUUUCGUCUUUGCUGAUAAUUCAUGGUACCCUUCAACAUGGUCCUAUAAGAAUGAAUUGAUUGAUAAGGGAAGAAAAGUUAGUAAUUGCUUUAUUUGUGAGAAGCACCGAGAUGUGAUUUAAUUGAAUGUUGUGAAGUAAAACACCAUACCAGCCUAAGAAAGUCACGAUGCUGAGCAUCUUCAGAGUCUAUAGCCUUGUCUAGGAUACUAUUUGAUGUAGCACUGUAAAACAGCAGUGCAAGAUUAUGGGUUAGUCUUUCAGUAACAAGUCAAGCAUUGCUUCUUUUAUAUGCCAAUUGCAUAGCCUAGCUACAGUGAAAAGAAUGUGAUAAUAAGACAAACAAGCAACACAUUUAACACUUCCACAAAUGACCAAAAAAACGAAAAAUGGAGCCUUUAUGUCCUAAUUGAAGGUUUACAAGAUGAAUCCCUCUCCAGAGUUAACCUCUAUUUUGGCAAAAUCUAGUCAGCAAACGAUAGUAAUAACAGAACAAUGAGAGGGUUAUUCAAUCGCAAUUAACUGAGUCAGCUACAAUAUUUCCCAUCUCCCCUUAAAGCUCAACAUUGAGCACUGCAUCCUGUUAAAGAAAUAUCAUUUCUCUUUUCAUUCUCAGCCCAUUCCAGAAUACCUUGUAAGAUAAAAGAUCUAAAAUGUUUAACAUGUUGAAUAGCAAAUAAUGUCGCAGUUUCAAUCAAAGAACUGGUCGUAAGAUCCAUAUGGACAAGCCAUGUCCUAACCUCAUGUAUGCAUGACAUUGAUUAUUUGCACAAUGAUACCAUUUUAGCAUAGAAUAAAAAUGUACAGCAGCAAUCCUCAGGAGGAAUGUGAUAAAUUGAUGACAGUUGAAAUCACGAGUGAUUUGUACACAUGCCUCACACUCUAAUACCAUGCUAUGAGUUGUGUUAUUCUAAAGCUUCUUAGAGAUGGUCCAAGAACAAAACAUGCUGAUGUGAAAUACAAACUGAAGAAUAUAUUAUAUUCCAAGUGAACUGAUGAGCAUAACUCGCAUACGAGGUGGUCACCAGGAAAAAGGGAAUGAAUGAGAAAAGAAAAAUAGAAAAAGCUAACUUGACGCUGAAGCACUGAUAACGGCUAGUCGAACACUAGACAAAAACAUAAAAUAGACAAGGAACUCCUGUUAAGACAAUGUAUUUGCAGUGAAAAUAUAUACAUGGGAAUUUGUGGCUAUAGAAUCUCCCAGGACUGAAGUUAGGAAAGUAAUAGAAUACAUAGUAGACUACCUGUGGCCAAUCAUAAACCGAACGACGAUUCCCUUCUGCUGUUCCAAUUGCUGGAGUUUUUCACCUAAUUGAAUUGAAAACAAGUAACAAAAACAAAUUAAUUAAUCUUAACAAAAGAACAGCAGGAAAGGCGUUGAUUACAAAGAUGAAAAUAUCUAUUAGGUAGUUAGGAAGUAAUGCUCUCUUAUCAUCUCCCAAACUAAAAAUGUUAUUGCUAGUGAAUUUAAAUUGUGCUUCUUUGGCCUGGCUUCUAGACCUGGAGAAGCAAUAGCUACAAUUUCAAGCUUCCGCUUUAGCUGCAGAGGAAGCUGAUAUUGAAAAACAGCUACUGCUUCUCUCAACAGCUUUACUAAAUCAUGACAACCAUGAACAACAAUCUCAAUCUGCAUAGAGACAUCUACAGAUUCCUUCAAGAGUUGAAGCAACUUCAGAUAUUAUGGCAGUAACUAAUAAAGAGCAUCGCACAUUUCAAGAACCGUGCAAGAACAGAGGUAAAGAUCUAAAAGAAGAAAAAUGAGCUCAAGUCAUAAUACAACUCAAAAUUCAUGAAGGCUGAAUAUGUUAGCGACUGUCAAGAUGUGCAUAAAAGCACACAAUAAUUACUCGAUCACAAGAAAGUAACAGUAUGCAUAGGCAAAAGAUCUCUGUCUAACAGUUUGGCCUGAUGGUAUUAAAGCAUAAAAGUGAGAAGCUUGUACAUAGAUAAAUAUAAAAAGCCGCGCCAAACAAAUAAACCAUAGAAUGAGGCAUCUAGUAAUAAAUAACAAGUGAAGUGACUCUAAAAAUGUGAAUCAGAGAAAAUAACUUCUGGUUGUACCAUAGCAUUCAAUUAGCUGUGAAAGAUGAUGUUCGAAAUGAUGGCACAAUAUAUUGGUCCCAUAUUUCAUUAAACAAGCAUCUAAUCUACAAUCUUCUAGGAAGCAUUAAAGAUCAUGGUCUAUUUACACAGAAUAAAAUUUAGAUUUCAAGCAAGUCUCUGCUGAACUUUAAAGAACCGCAUAAUAUCAUUAAUUACUCAUCACCAUAACUAUCUCAAUCUUUAAAACUGUGUCAAAGUAAUUAAGCAGAAUCUACAGAUCCCCCUAAAGAAUUCUGAUAUGUGAACUUCAGUUAUUAGCAGUAUAGCAAGUUUUAAAUGCCACUUCAUCUAGAGAUAUAGCAAGAAUAAACAAAGAUGACUGAAUAAACAAAUCUCCAUAUUUCAAAAGAGGGCUAACAAAAUAUAAUACCUUGUGGUAUCCAGGUCUCUCUAACGGAAUCGCGCCUCUUCCUGCUACUGAACGCGGUAUUGAUCCCAAUCACAACAAAAGCCUUCUUCCUCUGCUUAUCAGGGGCUGAAGUCGACGGCGAACCGCCGCCGCCGCCAAGCAGCUCCUGCGAGCUCCGCUUGGCGGCCAGCUCCAUCUGUAGGGUCGAGAUGGUCUUAUCCAAAGAUCUGAUAACAUCAUAUUUACCAAGUUUAGUACAAGAACUAAAAGAUCUCACAAUUCUUCAAAGAACACGGAUUAAGAUUCAUCAACUCACUGUAUGGCCUCGUGGGUCCUCGUCACCUCCCCCAUUAUAUCUUCAUCUUUACCAAGCUUCUAAAAUUCAAAGGAGAUACCAAUUUAGACGAUACCAACAUUAAAAAAAAAUUAAAUACUUGCAUUUUAGAAUCAAAACUAACCCUUUUGGUGGCGCAAUCCUCGGAGAUGAUCUGCAGCUCCUGUUCUUGCCGCCGCCUGGUAACAAUCUGAUUAUUGGAAUCAGGCACAUUCCAGAACCUGCCACUCAAAAAACCCCAAAAAUCACGAAUAAUCCACGCAAAAAAGAAACACCAAAUUGAAUCAAUCUCCCAAAAUCAAGCAGAAGUUGCAAUUUUUAGGCUAACCCAGAUCCCAAAUCUCUUACAGGACGACCAAAAACAGCAAAAGAUCGAUUUUUUUUUUUUUUUUUGCGUGUGCAAAAGAAACCAACCUAUCUGUGAACAACAUUCCGAGGCCGAAGCUGAAGACGCAGAGGAUGAGUAUCCAUCUCGCCGAGAUCUUCUUCUCGCUACUACUACUACUACUCCGUCCCUUCAUCGAUAACUGAGCUUCUUCCUCCCCUCUUCUUCGUUCCCCUUCCCCCUCUCCUCUCCUCUCCUCUCCUCUCCACUCCUCUCCUUCGUUGUCAAGGCGCGAUCCGAGACCCCACCUUAAGCUUUAAGAAAUGCGCGUAGACGCGCGAGGAGACGACGAGGAAGUUGAUGAGGAUGGCGAAGAGGAAUACCAAAGUGCGUCAAAGGAGACGGCUUUUUUGGAAGGGGUGGGGUGAGGUGGUGGGACGGCUCGCGCUAGGGUUACCGCACCGGUCCAAUUACCGCACAGCGUUGGGAGGAAGGAGGAGGCGGAGGAGAAGAGACCGAGGUAUGGUGCGGUGGGGCCCCACUCUGGGUUGGUCCCACGCGGCGCGUGAAAUGGUUCGUGCGAGGAGAGAGAGAGAGAGAGAGAGAGAGAGAGAGAGAGAGAGAGGGGAGGGUCGGCGACGCGGUUAUGUAGUCUUAGGGAGAGGUUAUAUUUAUUAAUUAAUUAAUUAAUACUAAUUAAUGGAUCUUAAAUUUUCUUCUUUUUUUUUUUUCUUCCUUUUGUUUGGUUGGAAACGCAUUGCGUUACGCAGGUUUAAUAAUUGGGUGAGAAAUUAGUGCUGUUUAUUUAUUUAUUUAUUAUUAUCUAUUUUUCAGAGAGGUUUCGUGUAAAAAUUUCUCUCUGCACCUGGUGCACAAGUACAUGUCGUGCACACGUACAAAACUUUACAGAAGAGGUUUCAAAAUUCAAAUUUAGCUUGCUAAUUAUGUUUUAUAGUAUUCGAAAAAUUAUAUAUUUAAAGGUGUAGAGUUUGAAUAUCGGUGUCUUACCAAUUGAAUAAUGGUUCUUUAUAUUUCGUUAAUUUUUUAGACUACUUAUAUCUAGUUUGAAAAUAUUGAUCAUCAAAUAUGAAUACAGACACAGUGUAUGAGGUACAAAAAAAUAAACCGGUUGCAGGCAAUAAUUUUAAAAAUAUUUGAAUAAUUAGUAGCAGUUUUUGACCUCUCAGGUAGGGACCGUAGGGUAUAAUAAAUGUUUGAAAAUUGGAGCUAGAAGUUUCGUGCAGUUCACGGUUAUCGCUUAUCAGGGUAUAAAUUUUCUAUUUAUCGAACAUUUGAAUACGGUUUCUUAGAAGUAAAGAGCUUUAUAAAAGCAAAAAACAUGUUGUAGUCAUAGUUUUCAUCUCAAUGUCUUAUUCAAUAUAUGCAUUUUUCAUUGUCUCAUUUAAGAUAACUAGGCAUGUCUUGAGAUACUGAAAGAAACAGAAACUAUUAUUUUGAUAAUUCUCAGUACUUAGCUUGGAUUAAUCCAGAUCCUGAUGUCUCGGUGUACGAGAUUAUUAUUUUACAUAGUAUAUUUGUUUGUGCAUUUAUUUUGAGUUGGAAAUGGGUUCCAUGUACUAUAUAUUAUUAGUAGUAUUGCACUUUUUAAUUAAUAGAUCAUUCAAACGAGAAUGGUUGGUAGAGAAGUUUACUAAGGUCUCCUCAGGGGAAUGUUCAAAAUUUUGGUUUGACCGAGAAUGUUCAAAGGUUGGGGUGACUCAAUUAGCUGACCCAUUAUGUAAGCCUAAUCAUGGUGUUAAGUAGAUAUUCUACGGAAUGAGAGUCAUUAAGUAUAAGCAAAAGUUCAUAAUAAUUUGACAUCUCUCAUUUAAGUAUUGAUUUGAAGGAUAAAAGUUGAGAUUUAAAGCAAUUUAGAUUCAACCAAUGGAAGGCAACCUUGAAAUAUUUUAAUCAAAUAAGAUAAAAAAGAGUAUGAAAGAUUCAGAUAUGUCAUACGUGCUGCUCACAUGGCUAUGGCUGUCGAUGAACCCCAUUUAACCUGAAAAAAAAUCAAAGAAGUAAGAAGUAAAUCCCCAGAACACAGCUGCUGUUUACAUAGUUCCACAGAAGUUGUGGGAUUCAAAUCCCCAAAAUCAGAUCUGAUAAUCUGAUAACUUAUCAUUACAGGAGAAUAGGUACUGAAUAAUACUAUAUAUUUGCACCCGUGACUAUUUUAGUGCAUAUAAAUAAAAUAUGAGAUCAAUUUACAUUCAUUCAUGGGAGGGUGUGAUGAAUAGAUCAAGGUGGGCACCACAUCAAUCACCUAUAGAAAUCACAGCUCCUGCACAAAUUCUUUUACAUAUUAUGUAAAAUUUCGAGGUCCUUUCACACAGUUAUUUUUCUCCCAAAAAAUAAUUUCUGAAUUCUUGGGCUCAGGUCGCAUUCAAAAGAGGUAGCAGUACCACAUUACAUGGCUUUACAGCAAACAGCUUAGGAGACUAGGACCAAGGAGAGAGAAUGGCAUUUAAGUUAUAUAAAGACAGAUAAAAGAUGACCCCUCUUAAAACAAGUUGAUUAAAGGUUUAUUUAAUUUCUAGCGAACAAAGAAGAGAACAAGGGACACACAUGCAUAGCAUCUUCCGCUCACAAGAAAUAAUAAAAUUAAUGAGCAAAGAACCAACAUAAGGCAAGCACACAUCCGACGAAGUUCCAUUUGUCUGAUUCGUAAUGUCACUACUAAUUUAGUUUUACAGCAACAAACAAUAUGACGAAAAACAAAAAGGAGUCUCUUAAUUCACCAUUCUAUGGCAUAUUUUCCUAUGAUUGGACAACCUUGGCAAUAAUCCCACCAAACAUAAAAGUUCAUCCAAAUUUUGGGUCCCUCGAAGCAAAAUCUAUCAUCUCUAGGAGCAAAAACUACAAAACUUCAAAUAAAAUACGAAAACCAAAACAAUAAUUAAGUGAAAGCAUUGCAAUCCUUCAUAUCCACAAAUACACAGGGCGAUUAUGUCGGAAACUAUCUGCUAAUCUACAAUGGAGUUAAGAUAGAGUUUCAAAGAAGCACUUUGCAUGCUAAGUUAUCAACACGGCACCUCUUUCAUUUACAGAACAGCUAUUCACGCUCAUAAAGAAACGAAAUGAUAAAACAAAUCACACGCUAUAGUGAUCACUUCAUUUGUGCCCCUGACAAAGUUUAUAAUGGAUUCACCUUUAAACUUCCAUUUUGGCAACGAGAGAGAACCCUUCAAUUCAAUCUUCAGAAUGGCAAGUCCAAUAUAUCAACCCACUGCAAGAAGGAUUGAAGUCCAUGAAUAAAAAUAUCCCCAAAGAGGGAUGCAUGAAAAUAUUGAAAUUCAUGUAGAAAUACCUUAUUAGCACAAAGACGCAUUGCAGGACGCCAGCAACUCCAGUCCAAACAGAGGGACCCUUGUCUGUUAGUGCAUCCUGUAUUAAUAAACCCACAGCCCCGGCUAAAGAGACAAAAGACACAACGUACGCCACAAAGAGCCAAAGCUUCACCCUGUGAUUUCAAAGAAUUUGCGUUACAACAAGAUACAGGUUUAACAAUAUCUCUACACCAAAGCACAAGUUUAAAAAUCAAAAUAUAGUCACACAAGCACACACACACACACACACACACACACGAAUGGAGGCUAGUUUUCUCACAUCCCGCUUCCCAGGGGUUCACCCAUCAUUGAGCCCAUGGUUCAAUUAACUGAGUAUUCUAGACCUGAUGACCUGCUGGGCCAAACCCACCGGCCCAAAAUACUUGAGCCCGAUUAUUAGGUUUAGGCUACCCAAUCUUAUAUACCCCACACUAUGCCCUUGGCUAUCCCAUGUGGGACUAUUCUCUAAUCUGAAGUGUCACAGACUCCCCUGCUUUUACGCCCUCACGCCCUGACAUUCUCCCUAGGCUCAAUUACACACAACUCAAGAUCGCCAAGCUCAAUCACACACAGCCUAAGAUCGCCAGGCAAUGUGAAACUUUGUCUCACACUUCCGGCUAACUUCCGGCUAACUGACCUGCUGGGCCAAACCCACCGGCCCAAAAUACUUGAGCCCGAUUAUUAGGUUUAGGCUACCCAAUCUUAUAUACCCCACACUAUGCCCUUGGCUAUCCCAUGUGGGACUAUUCUCUAAUCUGAAGUGUCACAGACUCCCCUGCUUUUACGCCCUGACGCCCUGACAUUCUCCCUAGGCUCAAUUACACACAACUCAAGAUCGCCAAGCUCAAUCACACACAGCCUAAGAUCGCCAGGCAAUGUGAAACUUUGUCUCACACUUCCGGCUAACUUCCGGCUAACCGACCUGCUCUGAUACCGUAGUCACAUCCCGCUUCCUAGGGGGUCACCUAUUGUCGACCCCGGCAGCUCGAUUAACUGGAUAUUUUAGACCUGAGAAUCUGUUCAGCCAAAUCAACCAGUCCAAAAUACUUUAGCUCGGUUAUGGGUGUCACAAGUUUAGCCUUAAAACUAGGAAAAAGGCAAGAAUUACAUUCUAAGCAUGAAAUAUUUUGCACAAAAGUAUUAAAGAACCGAAGCUGCUGUAUGAUGAAUAUCUUCCUGCCUGCCACAUAUAUAAUAUCGUAUGUUUCGUUCCAUAUGCAAGCUAAUAAAGAAAUAUAUUCCCCCCAUCAAUUUCAUGAACACCAACAAACUCUGGUAAAUCUCAAAUUAAAUAUGAACAUUCUGGUUUCAGGCAUGCCACUCGGAAACUAGAGUCCAACUGAAACAUCUCAGUAUCGGAUAAAAACAAUAUAUCAAAUCAUACUGAAAGUUAUCUUUCUAUAGCUGUUUAGAUUUCCCGCAAUCCUUCUGCUCUUUUGUUUGAGAUUUUUCAACUAAAAUCCAUGUGAGCCAGAAACUGCAUAAACAAAACAUAGUGUCUGAGGCAGAAAACACCACCAACUAUUUAAACCUCUGAUGAACUGCCCAAAUUCUGGCAAACCUGCAAAAACCAGGACAUUCUAACAGAGGCUGAACAGAAAUGCAAACUAAUUAAAACCCACCCUCCACUAUGGGAAAACCCUUUUUACUUUUGAAACUAUCGAGCAAAAUAGUCGUCUCACCUUUCUUCUCAUCUGCUGGGACAGCCAUUACAAGGUCAAAGGCACAGAAGUAAACUUCAAUCAAGUAACCAAAUUCCCUAAUGCAGCAUUUCUAAUGCUCAAAUCCCAAGUUCCAAAUUUGUGCACAUACAAAUGCAUUCACAGUUGUUGCUGCUUUGCACGAUAAAAUUCCGAUACCUCAGACACAGGAUGGUCCACAUGGGCCAGAUAAAAUCCAUUAUGCACCACAUAACAGGAAUUCCAAGUUUACCAAGUAAACAGGACUAGGAAGCAAGGACAAUAGACAAGUCACUGACUUAGUAACAAGGCAAAAACCAAAUAGUUACCAAGGGACCAUAAUUUGUUCACUUCCUGCACUUUAGGGGAUUAACCCCUAAGCACAAGGCGGAGUCCACCGACGCCAUCAAAAUACAGUAUCCUGUAUGCAGCAAUUUUCUACAAUAUGAGAUAAAAUAGAUAAUACCGGCACUUUGUGCUAAGUCAGUAGCAAUUCUACAACAGUGAACGGAAGGGCCAGAAAACAACAGAUUGAAUCAUCACUCAUCAUUCAUGCCUUUUCAAGUACAUGGGAUGAGAUAUAAAGCAACUAAAGGUUCUAAUAAACGUAAAGCAAUGUCAUCAUGUAGCCUAAGCAACCCUUGGCAAUAGACCAUCUCACCACCAGCCAAUAGUUAGGUGGUAAUUCUGGCAUCAGAAAACUAAGCUAAAAAUAAAAUACUAAGAAUUAUUAAUACUAUUACGUCCAAAUGCUCGGGAACAAUUCAUCUUAUGGUUGUGAAACAGAACCAAAUUCCAUUAAAAUAUCUAGUAGAGUUAUUAGCACAUUAAAUUUUGACACCAUAAAAAGUUUCAUCCCAUAUGUCCAAGUAUCAAAAACAAUCACCUUCGAAGAAUUGCUAAAUAUUUAGGCAUUCAGGUAACAUGAGACCUAUACUGGCUAAAAUUAAUCAUAAUUGGUAUGGAAAGACCGAUUAAAAAGCACAAAAAAAAAGAGAACUUCUCCCAUUGAGUCUGCUCUCUAUCACAUAGAAAGGAAAUCAUAUUGUUCUGGGACAAACGCCAAUAAAAAGGUCUUCUUACCUCAAAUCCAUUACUCUCAAUGUCCUUUGCUACAACAAAUCUGGAGCAUAAAAAUAUCAAAUAACAUCACAAUAGUCACAUAGGCAUUCUUAGCAGUUCGAUCAGCUGUGAAAUCAGCUUGCUGCAACAGUUCUAAGCAGUACUUAACAAUACUCCAGCAUGUUGGCACUAUAUCAACAUUAAUCAUCCAAUUGCAAAAAGAAUAAAAUCAGAUGAUGAAAAAGAUAUUCUUUUUUUUUUUGAGAGAUAGGUAGCACGCUACCCGCUUCGUUUAUUUCAUUUAGAAAUAAACUUAGCUGAAUCAACUAGGAUUCGAACUUGGGUCUCGGGUACCAACCACCAAGCCCUUUUGCCACUUGCGCUGGGGACGGUCGGUAUGUUAAAGAUAUUCUGGAACAAGUUUAGCAACACAAAUCAUCCAAAAUAUUCUUUCAACCUAGUCGAGCAGCAACUUGAACCCAUUAAUCGAAUCAUUCAUAUGACUUACUUGCCAUAGUGUAGCACUUCCAUUCCCCUUAUGUUGAUUUCAUGCUUGUUGUUUACACACGCUAAACAACUUCAUAUUACUCUUGUUCCCCUAAUGUUGCCUUCAUGUUUCAUUACCCGCCUUAAACAAUUCUGUAUUACUUAGUGGCAAAACCAGAUGGCCUCUUUCCCACAGGAACAUCCACACAACAAUAAAGAGGACUUUUUUUUUCUUCAGGUCUCAAGUCCAGGAUAGCCCAGCUGUGCCAGGGAAAAGAAUAGAAGAAGCAGCUGACUCUGUUGAGCAAUGCAUUACAUUUUGAUGGUCCUCCCUCCAGUUCAUGGUUCGAGCCGGGUGGCAUUACAAAGCUUUUGUUGUAAUGCUUUUGGUAUAUUGCCAACAGUUAUAGCAUAGCAAGCAACAAGAAAGAGCACACAAAUUUUCAAGUAGAUGAGAUCAGUCCAGUGGUGUCAGCUGGAGAUGGGCUAGUACAUGAAGAACAUAAGCCAGAUGACGAAACAGGGAGACCUAGGAUUAUGCGCAGGUGUGAACACACAUGCGGGUCUCAACGAUUGACGUGAGGGUGAAAGCUCCUUAACGAGCAAGAUUUGAGGCUCUAAACAAGACCUCUAAGAGAACGGAAAUUCAUUCCCUCUCACUAAUGGGGCAAGUUGUCAGGUUUCCCACAAGCUAUAGGUGGGGUCAAAAGAAGCAAGGACACCUAUCGGUGCUAUCGAUCGGAAUAGCAUCUAUUUGCCUAGCGACCUACCUAAACCAGAGGCCCACCGCUACGCCUAACAAACACACCAACACACCGACCCACCAAGAAGAGGGAUACCCUCAAAUUGAAUUCCUUCCUGCUCCUGUGGCUCAGACCCGCGGCUUGCUCACAGCGUGGUACAUUGCGGCUGGUUUCAACAGACGUCAUAAUGAAUCUGGUUCCCCUGAUGCUCGUCGCUUUCAUUUGUUCGCAAUCCCUGAGUGGAGGUAGUAGUAAAGCAAGUGGUUUCCUCCUUUUGUGAAAUCUUUUUACUUUAUUUAUGCACUCAAAUCCAAUCCAUCAGGGAAAGGAAGAAAAGAAAUUGAAGGGAGAACUUCUCUAUACAGCUUUCUUCGUGGGAAGGAGGGUCAUAUGCCCCAAGGGCAGUCGCAGCUUCACCAGGACAAGGCGAUGGUAUAUGAAACCACUGAAAAUGGCCUUUCAAAGCCUCACUUGUACUUCCUGUCCUCCCUUAUCUUGAUUUUCUUUUCUUUACUUGUUACUUGGAUUGAAAAGCGUUUUAAAAUUACUCCUUUUAGCUAAUUAACAAGGAUCAGAAUUUCUUCGGGAAAAAAAAGGCAACAUCUACAUUUGCAUCCUAUCUGAUCACUUCAAGAGAUUCGGAGCUGCCGAAACACCCAAUUCAGAUAGUGAAAAGCACAAAGCAAUCAAAUGCACAAAUUCUCCAAUCUAAAUCAAAAGAGCAAAUUCAGAAAUUGAAUCAAAAGAAUCAAACCUCCACUCCGUAUCAUCAUAGGGGGAGUAGGAACCGUAGCUAACAUCGUCCCUGCUGACGCAAUUGAACAUGAGCGCCGCGAGAGAGGCGAAGAUCCCUGCGAAUUACACACUUAGAAACCCUAAUAGUACGAAAUACACAUUGGGGAAUCCUCAGAUUAGAAGGGGGAAAGGAGGAGAUUACCCGGGAGGUAGUGGAGGAAGGAGACCUUAACGGCGCUACACACGACUGCGUCGACCCAGAACCACCACCCGGCGCCGAACACGGCGCCGGCGAUGCCGGGGCCCAUGAUCUCCCACAUCAGCGAGAGGUUGUUGUCCAUGGCGUCGUCGUCGUCGUCGUCGUCGUCGUCGUCGUCGACGGCGUCGUCUUCUUCCUUUCGACUCCCCUUUCUCUCUCUCUUUCUCUCUUACUCGUUCGUCUCUGUUGAUUAGGAGCGGAGUCGAUGGAAAUCGACGAGAAAACGCAAGCGAGAAUCUAAAGAUUUUUUAAAAAAUAUUUUUUUUAUUUAAAUAUAUAUAGAAAAGCUAGAGAGUUUUAUUGUCGAACUGUUAGUGUGUUGACAAUCAGGCCCAAAACAUUUAAUGGGCUUUAGCCCGAUAUUGGCUCCAAACAAACCAAAAUCAAAAUAAAAUGGUAAAAUGUUCUAAGUAGGUUUUGUAUGCUAUUAGAAGAACGGAGAUCUCUGUGCUUUUAAGUCGUUUUCGAUGAUAGAGUUUUCGAAUCGGCGAUCGGCUCCGUUAGACUUGAUCUAGUACAUUUGAACUAUCUAUAAAAUAAAUUUUGCGCUUUUUUGAUAUUAUCUACCUAGCGAUCGAAAGGGUUUAAAAUCAAUAAUUUGUAAUGGUUGAUGUAUACCGUUUACAAGUUUAAUGGUGUAGUAGUUUUCAAAUCAAACGCAAUUUAAAUAGAAAAUUUUUUAUACUAUAUACGACAAAAUUAAUAUCUCUAAUCGAAAAUUUUAGUACUACAUCAUAACUUUUUGUGAGAUUUUUAUUUUCAACGGUUGAUUUUGAGUCAUUUCAAUCACUAGAUAAAUGAUAUCAAAAAAUCGCAAAAAUUAUUUUCUAGAUAGUUCAAAUAAGCUAGAUCAAGUUUAAUAAAGUUGAUCGUCAAUUUGGAAGUUUCAUAGUAAAAAACGGUUUAGAAGCACGGAAGCCUUCGUGCUUCUGUUAGCAUACAAAACCUACUCAAAUCUUUUAAUAUAUUUAGUUAGAAUAAUAAUAUAUAUUAUAUAUUAUAUAUUAUUGUCUUCUCUCUUUAACUGGGAUGGAAAAAGUUUAGUUAUCCAAAUAUAAUUAAAAUAAAAAUUAAAUUAAAUUAUAAAAAUUAAAUUUAGAUUUAAAACUAAAUUCUUAGCUCAAUAAAGAAUUAAUUAUCUAAUUUAAAUUCAAAAUAAAACUUAAAUAUUCAAAAUUUGCAUCAAAUGUUUGAAAUGAUAAGCCAAAAUUGUAAAUAUAAAUAUUUCUAAAAUUAUAAAUUGAGUUUGCCAUUCAAAGUAUUUACAAUUUUAUUCAAAUUCAAACUUAAAAUUAUUUAAAUUUUAAAUAUAUAAAUUUGAAUUCAAAUUUAAAUUCAUAGAUCAAAUUCAAAAUACUUUGAUUAAAUUUAAAUUUAAAUUUAAAUUUAAUUAAAAAUCUGUAAUAAAAAGUUUAAUUUUUGAUUUAAACUCAUAUUUUAAUUAAAAAUAAAGGUAAAAAUUUAAAUUUAAUUUCAAAUUAAAAUAUAAAAAUAAUUAAGAUAUU
This 24005-nucleotide long non-coding RNA is filed under the name Ananas comosus (pineapple). Its description in RNAcentral is "long non-coding RNA (ACOM_LNC004189)". The record is from RNAcentral. Lineage: Eukaryota; Viridiplantae; Streptophyta; Magnoliopsida; Poales; Bromeliaceae.